GGAGUUAUGACUCAGCAGUAGAGUGCUCGUCUAGCACACGUGAGGCCCUGGGUUCAAUCCUCAGCACCA
RNAcentral lists this transfer RNA (69 nucleotides) under Ictidomys tridecemlineatus (thirteen-lined ground squirrel). RNAcentral describes it as "Spermophilus tridecemlineatus (thirteen-lined ground squirrel) tRNA". It matches the Rfam family "tRNA". Rfam says of the family: Transfer RNA (tRNA) molecules are approximately 80 nucleotides in length. Their secondary structure includes four short double-helical elements and three loops (D, anti-codon, and T loops). Further hydrogen bonds mediate the characteristic L-shaped molecular structure. tRNAs have two regions of fundamental functional importance: the anti-codon, which is responsible for specific mRNA codon recognition, and the 3' end, to which the tRNAs corresponding amino acid is attached (by aminoacyl-tRNA synthetases). tRNAs cope with the degeneracy of the genetic code in two manners: having more than one tRNA (with a specific anti-codon) for a particular amino acid; and 'wobble' base-pairing, i.e. permitting non-standard base-pairing at the 3rd anti-codon position. Lineage: Eukaryota; Metazoa; Chordata; Mammalia; Rodentia; Sciuridae. The record is from Rfam by way of RNAcentral.